This 101-nucleotide small RNA is filed under the name Pseudomonas aeruginosa PAK. RNAcentral describes it as "potential sRNA". The record is from RNAcentral. Lineage: Bacteria; Pseudomonadati; Pseudomonadota; Gammaproteobacteria; Pseudomonadales; Pseudomonadaceae.
GCCGCAGCGGCGACGGCUACCCACUGGCCGUCGUCCGGGUCGCCGGUUCCAUCCCGGCCGCGCCAACCCCCGCAUUCAGGCCCCGCUGCGGCGACUGCAUU